Picea glauca (white spruce) is the source of this 121-nucleotide non-coding RNA. NCBI's taxonomy places the organism in Eukaryota, Viridiplantae, Streptophyta, Pinopsida, Pinales, Pinaceae. The record is from Rfam.
ACAUGCCUACCACAAAGUGUUAAUGCAUCAAAUCCCAUUAGAACUCCACAGUUAAGCGUGCUCAAGCUAGAUUAGCACUGGGAUGGGUGACUGCCCGGGAAGUCCUAGUGUUUUACAUGCC